RNAcentral lists this ribosomal RNA (478 nucleotides) under uncultured bacterium. RNAcentral describes it as "partial 16S ribosomal RNA". It matches the Rfam family "Bacterial small subunit ribosomal RNA", at positions 28 to 524 of the family's 1533-position model. The record is from RNAcentral.
GACGAACGCUGGCGGCGUGCUUAACACAUGCAAGUCGAGCGGUAAGGCCCUUUCGGGGGUACACGAGCGGCGAACGGGUGAGUAACACGUGGGUGACCUGCCCUCAGCUCUGGGAUAAGCCUGGGAAACCGGGUCUAAUACCGGAUAUGACUCCAUGACGCAUGUUGUGGGGUGGAAAGCCUUGUGCGGCUGAGGAUGGGCCCGCGGCCUAUCAGCUUGUUGGUGGGGUGAUGGCCUACCAAGGGCGACGACGGGUAGCCGGCCUGAGAGGGCGACCGGCCACACUGGGACUGAGACACGGCCCAGACUCCUACGGGAGGCAGCAGUGGGGAAUAUUGGACAAUGGGCGAAAGCCUGAUCCAGCCAUGCCGCGUGAGUGAUGAAGGCCUUAGGGUUGUAAAGCUCUUUUACCCGGGAAGAUAAUGACGAUACCGGGAGAAUAACGCCCGGCUAACUUCGUGCCAGCAGCCGCAGUAAG